UGCGCAAGUCAUUGGGACAUUUGCAAAGCCUAAAGGCGUAAUGAAAGUGAAGGUCCGCUCUUCGGGGCGGACCUAGGGAGGAUGGGGCGCGCCGCGGCGCGCCCUCGCACUCCCGGGGCGUCUCGUUCUCAUUGCGAGUUGAGGCGCACCUAGAGCGUACACGCUGGGACCCGAAAGAUGGUGAACUAUGCCUGGUCAGGACGAAGUCAGGGGAAACCCUGAUGGAGGUCCGUAGCGAUUCUGACGUGCAAAUCGAUCGUCGGAACUGGGUAUAGGGGCGAAAGACUAAUCGAACCGUCUAGUAGCUGGUUCCCUCCGAAGUUUCCCUCAGGAUAGCUGGCGCUCGUUGUAUGCGAGUUUCAUCCGGUAAAGCGAAUGAUUAGAGGCAUUGGGGUCGAAACGGCCUCAACCUAUUCUCAAACUUUAAAUGGGUGAGAUCUCCGGCUUGCUUGAUGCUGAAGCCGCGAGAGUUUAGAAUCAGAGUGCCAAGUGGGCCACUUUUGGUAAGCAGAACUGGCGCUGUGGGAUGAACCAAACGCAGAGUUAAAGCGCCUAAAUCGACGCUUAUGGGAUACCAUGAAAGGCGUU
RNAcentral lists this ribosomal RNA (588 nucleotides) under Fusi cf. nyujwa IBE AF67. RNAcentral describes it as "eukaryotic LSU rRNA". It matches the Rfam family "Eukaryotic large subunit ribosomal RNA", at positions 683 to 1225 of the family's 3401-position model. The record is from RNAcentral. Lineage: Eukaryota; Metazoa; Arthropoda; Insecta; Coleoptera; Leiodidae.